GAACAGGUGUUUUUAAACACCAAACAACUCUUCUAUUAUCACUUUAG
Molecule: non-coding RNA, 47 nt
Organism: Lepisosteus oculatus (spotted gar)
Lineage: Eukaryota; Metazoa; Chordata; Actinopteri; Semionotiformes; Lepisosteidae
Source: Rfam